UUGGAGGGCAAGUCUGGUGCCAGCAGCCGCGGUAAUUCCAGCUCCAAUAGCGUAUAUUAAAGUUGUUGCAGUUAAAAAGCUCGUAGUUGAAUUUCGGGGUUCUUCCGUUGGUCAGGCUAACAAGUCUGUACUAGCGUGUAGAAUCUCUACCUUCUGGGGAACCAUCAUAUUAUUAAUUUAGCGUGGUGGGAAACCAGGACCUUUACCUUGAAAAAAUUAGAGUGUUCAAAGCAGGCUUACGUCUGAAUACAUUUGCAUGGAAUAAUAAAAUAGGACGGUGGUCCUGUUUUGUUGGUUUCUGAAUCACCGUAAUGAUUGAUAGGGAUAGUUGGGGGCAUUAGUAUUCAAUUGUCAGAGGUGAAAUUCUUGGAUUUAUUGAAGACUAACUUCUGCGAAAGCAUUUGCCAAGGAUGUUUUCAUUAAUCAAGAACGAAAGUUAGGGGAUCGAAGACGAUCAGAUACCGUCGUAGUCUUAACCAUAAACUAUGCCGACUAGGGAUCGGACGAUGUUAAAUUUUAUUGACUCGUUCGGCGCCUUACGGGAAAC
RNAcentral lists this ribosomal RNA (547 nucleotides) under uncultured Glomeromycotina. RNAcentral describes it as "SSU rRNA". It matches the Rfam family "Eukaryotic small subunit ribosomal RNA", at positions 548 to 1098 of the family's 1831-position model. The record is from RNAcentral. Lineage: Eukaryota; Fungi; Glomeromycota.